Molecule: ribosomal RNA, 300 nt
Filed under: uncultured bacterium
Lineage: Bacteria
Description: bacterial SSU rRNA
Rfam family: Bacterial small subunit ribosomal RNA
Source: RNAcentral
CCUACGGGACGCAGCAGUGAGGGAUAUUGGUCAAUGGGCGGAAGGCUGAACCAGCCAAGUCGCGUGAGGGAGGACGGUGCAAUGCGUCGCAAACCUCUUUUGCCGGGGGGCAAAAGGCGGGACUCGUCCCGUCCUGAGGGUACCCGGAGAAAAAGCAUCGGCUAACUCCGUGCCAGCAGCCGCGGUAAUACGGAGGAUGCGAGCGUUAUCCGGAUUCAUUGGGUUUAAAGGGUGCGCAGGCGGACCUUCAAGCCAGCGGUAAAAUUGCGAGGCUCAACCCCUUCGAGCCGUUGGAACUGG